RNAcentral lists this transfer RNA (67 nucleotides) under Diamesus osculans. RNAcentral's name for it is "tRNA-Tyr". The record is from RNAcentral. Lineage: Eukaryota; Metazoa; Arthropoda; Insecta; Coleoptera; Silphidae.
GGUAGGAUGGCUGAGAUAUAGGCAAUAAACUGUAAAUUUAUUUACGAAUUUUGUAAUUCUCCUACCA